RNAcentral lists this transfer RNA (84 nucleotides) under Ruminococcus sp. Its description in RNAcentral is "tRNA-Leu". It matches the Rfam family "tRNA". Rfam says of the family: Transfer RNA (tRNA) molecules are approximately 80 nucleotides in length. Their secondary structure includes four short double-helical elements and three loops (D, anti-codon, and T loops). Lineage: Bacteria; Bacillati; Bacillota; Clostridia; Eubacteriales; Oscillospiraceae. The record is from RNAcentral.
GCCGGUAUGAUGGAAUUGGCAGACGUGACGGACUCAAAAUCCGUUGGUAGCGAUACCGUGUCGGUUCGACCCCGACUACCGGCA